CAUAAUUAAUUUUUUUUGUUUCAUUAUUGUUCUGUGGUUGUGUACUUCUAUACUAUGUGCUUUCUUUACUACCAGAAGCUAAAUUUAAUAUCGUUUUAUAAGCAACAAGAAUAUGACAGUACAUCAUAUAGAUCAGGAAACUGGGGAGUGAAGAAUAAUAAAAGAAAUGCAAUCUGAUCCUGCCAGCAGUGAAAGGGCGAGGUAAUUUACACACACUUGGGUAUUCUUGUGCUGAAGAGAAUGUGGGAAAUUGACGUAAACUAUUGUUAAGGUAAGACAACCCGAUGCUGUCACUUAAGGGCUCUGUGGACUCAGGUUUUCUCUCCCUGAGGCUUGCGUGAGCUCCUUUUUGAGGUUUUA
This is a long non-coding RNA of Lagenorhynchus albirostris (white-beaked dolphin), 360 nucleotides long. RefSeq lists it as uncharacterized. The record is from RefSeq and is a predicted model, not a curated record. NCBI's taxonomy places the organism in Eukaryota, Metazoa, Chordata, Mammalia, Artiodactyla, Delphinidae. The transcript is spliced from 3 exons.